Molecule: unclassified non-coding RNA, 283 nt
Organism: Callithrix jacchus (white-tufted-ear marmoset)
Lineage: Eukaryota; Metazoa; Chordata; Mammalia; Primates; Cebidae
Rfam family: Metazoan signal recognition particle RNA
About the family: The signal recognition particle (SRP) is a universally conserved ribonucleoprotein. It is involved in the co-translational targeting of proteins to membranes.
Source: Ensembl
GCUGGGUGGGGCGGCGGGUGCCUGUAGUCCCAGCUACUCAGGAGGCUGAGGCUGGAGGAUCGCUUGAGUCCAGGAGUUCUGGGCUGUAGUGUGCUAUGCCGAUGGGGUGUCUGCACAAAGUUUGGCAUCAAUAUGGUGACCUCCCGGGAGCGGGGGACCACCAGGUUGCCUAAGGAGGGGUGAACCGGCCCAGGUCAGAAACGGAGCAGGUCAAAACUCCCGUGCUGAUCAGGAAUAAAUUUAACAAGGUACCAAACUUAGACUCUGAAAACUGUAUAACAUU